GUCUAGUAUAAGCAAUCUAUACAGUGAAACUGCGAAUGGCUCAUUAAAUCAGUUAUCGUUUAUUUGAUAGUACCUUACUACUUGGAUAACCGUGGUAAUUCUAGAGCUAAUACAUGCUAAAAACCUCGACUUCGGAAGGGGUGUAUUUAUUAGAUAAAAAACCAAUGCCCUUCGGGGCUCCUUGGUGAUUCAUGAUAACUUAACGAAUCGCAUGGCCUUGUGCCGGCGAUGGUUCAUUCAAAUUUCUGCCCUAUCAACUUUCGAUGGUAGGAUAGUGGCCUACCAUGGUUUCAACGGGUAACGGGGAAUUAGGGUUCUAUUCCGGAGAGGGAGCCUGAGAAACGGCUACCACAUCCAAGGAAGGCAGCAGGCGCGCAAAUUACCCAAUCCCGACACGGGGAGGUAGUGACAAUAAAUACUGAUACAGGGCUCUUUUGGGUCUUGUAAUUGGAAUGAGUACAAUUUAAAUCCCUUAACGAGGAACAAUUGGAGGGCAAGUCUGGUGCCAGCAGCCGCGGUAAUUCCAGCUCCAAUAGCGUAUAUUAAAGUUGUUGCAGUUAAAAAGCUCGUAGUUGAACCUUGGGCCUGGCUGGCCGGUCCGCCUCACCGCGUGCACUGGUCCGGCCGGGCCUUUCCUCCUGGGGAGCCGCAUGCCCUUCACUGGGUGUGUCGGGGAACCAGGACUUUUACUUUGAAAAAAUUAGAGUGUUCAAAGCAGGCCUAUGCUCGAAUACAUUAGCAUGGAAUAAUAGAAUAGGACGUGUGGUUCUAUUUUGUUGGUUUCUAGGACCGCCGUAAUGAUUAAUAGGGAUAGUCGGGGGCAUCAGUAUUCAAUUGUCAGAGGUGAAAUUCUUGGAUUUAUUGAAGACUAACUACUGCGAAAGCAUUUGCCAAGGAUGUUUUCAUUAAUCAGUGAACGAAAGUUAGGGAUCGAAGACGAUCAGAUACCGUCGUAGUCUUAACCAUAAACUAUGCCGACUAGGGAUCGGGCGAUGU
This 996-nucleotide ribosomal RNA is filed under the name Pseudeurotium sp. Its description in RNAcentral is "SSU rRNA". It matches the Rfam family "Eukaryotic small subunit ribosomal RNA", at positions 57 to 1063 of the family's 1831-position model. The record is from RNAcentral. Lineage: Eukaryota; Fungi; Ascomycota; Leotiomycetes; Thelebolales; Pseudeurotiaceae.